UGGGGAAUAUUGCGCAAUGGACGAAAGUCUGACGCAGCAACGCCGCGUGAGUGAAGAAGGCCUUCGGGUUGUAAAGCUCUGUCGAAUGGGACGAAAAACUGCAAGACAGCUUGCAGCUUGACGGUACCAUUAGAGGAAGCACCGGCUAACUCUGUGCCAGCAGCCGCGGUAAUACAGAGGGUGCAAACGUUGCUCGGAAUUAUUGGGCGUAAAGGGGAGGUAGGUGGUCCUGUUUGUCUGUGGGUGAAAUCCCGGAGCUUAACUCCGGAAUUGCCUCGGAAACGGCAGGACUAGAGUAUCGGAGAGGGUCGUGGAAUUCCCGGUGUAGCGGUGAAAUGCGUAGAGAUCGGGAGGAACACCAGUGGCGAAAGCGACGACCUGGACGAUUACUGACACUCAA
This 400-nucleotide ribosomal RNA is filed under the name uncultured bacterium. RNAcentral's name for it is "bacterial SSU rRNA". It matches the Rfam family "Bacterial small subunit ribosomal RNA", at positions 355 to 750 of the family's 1533-position model. The record is from RNAcentral.